AGAAAUCGUGAGGGUUCAAGUCCCUCUAUCCCCAAAAAGACCUGGUUGCC
Molecule: transfer RNA, 50 nt
Filed under: Rosa rugosa (rugosa rose)
Lineage: Eukaryota; Viridiplantae; Streptophyta; Magnoliopsida; Rosales; Rosaceae
Description: partial tRNA-Xle
Source: RNAcentral